This 510-nucleotide ribosomal RNA is filed under the name uncultured bacterium. Its description in RNAcentral is "bacterial SSU rRNA". It matches the Rfam family "Bacterial small subunit ribosomal RNA", at positions 1 to 523 of the family's 1533-position model. The record is from RNAcentral.
GGAGAGAGUUUGAUCCUGGCUCAGGAUGAACGCUAGCGGCAGGCCUAAUACAUGCAAGUCAAGGGGGCCAGCAAUGGUCACCGGCGCACGGGUGCGUAACACGUACACAACAUACCUUUAAGUGGGGGAUAGCAUUGGGAAACUGGUGGUAAUACCCCAUAAGAUUGCGGAGCGGCAUCACUCAGCAAUUAAAGUUACGACGCUUAAAGAUUGGUGUGCGUCCGAUUAGCUAGUUGGCGGGGUAACGGCCCACCAAGGGGACGAUCGGUAGGGGGUGUGAGAGCAUGACCCCCCACAUGGGUACUGAGACACGGACCCAACUCCUACGGGAGGCAGCAGUAAGGAAUAUUGGACAAUGGUCGGAAGACUGAUCCAGCCAUGCCGCGUGAAGGACGAAGGCGCUCAGCGUUGUAAACUUCUUUUGGAUGGGGAUAAUAACCUUGAUUUAUCGGGGCUUGAAGGUACCAUCAGAAUGAGCACCGGCUAACUCCGUGCCAGCAGCCGCGGUAA